Molecule: long non-coding RNA, 524 nt
Filed under: Cyanistes caeruleus (blue tit)
Lineage: Eukaryota; Metazoa; Chordata; Aves; Passeriformes; Paridae
Description: lncRNA (ENSCCEG00000003603.1)
Source: RNAcentral
AUUACGCUGCUCUGUGAUUAUGUGCUGGAACUGUAAUUUCUUCUGCUAUACCUUUUGGAACAGAAAUAUAUGGAUACAACCAAGGAGAAUGUCACCUGUGAGGUAAAUUAUCUAGGUCGAGCAGCGAAUGGCAAUUGAGAGCAGUAUGGGAUGUGCCCUGGGAUACUCCGAGGACGCUUGGAUCAAGACACAUUUAAACUACCCAAACAGAGAAAAAGGGAGGUAAAGAGAAGAUAGAAUUAAAUACUAGUGUUGAACACGUGGAAGAAAAGGAGUCUGCAUUUGCAAGAGGGCCAAGAAUGGUAGGUGCUAUUUUGUUUUUCAGUCUAAAGUGUGAAAUAUCCAGUUCUUAAAAAAAGCCCAACCACAGACCUGUGUCUUCAUACAUGAGUCAUAAGCCAUAAGCACUCUUUAUUCAAAUUAACUGCUUCACUCUUAAACUCUUAGAGUUUGCUGGUAAUUUUCACUUUAAAUUUUCUUAACAGGAUGCAAAAAAUAAAUUAUCUUCUGAAAUUGCUAAUCCA